CCUACGGGUGGCAGCAGUGAGGAAUAUUGCACAAUGGGGGAAACCCUGAUGCAGCGACGCCGCGUGAGUGAAGAAGGCUUUCGGGAUGUAAAACUCUAUCAGCAGGGGAGAAAAUGACGGUACCUGAUUAAGAAGCCCCGGCUAACUACGUGCCAGCAGCCGCGGUACUACGUAGGGGGCCAGCGUUAUCCGGAUUUACUGGGUGUAAAGGGAGCGUAGACGGCAGGACAAGUCUGGAGUGAAAUGCCGGGGCUUAACCCCGGAACUGCUUUGGAAACUGUGAAGCUAGAGUGCAGGAGAGGUAAGUGGAAUUCGUAGUGUAGCGGUGAAAUGCGUAGAUAUUAGGAGGAACACCAGUGGCGAAGGCGGCUUACUGGACUGCAACUGACGUUGAGGCUCGAAAGUGUGGGGAGCAAACAGGAUUAGAUACCCUUGUAGUC
Molecule: ribosomal RNA, 440 nt
Filed under: uncultured bacterium
Lineage: Bacteria
Description: partial 16S ribosomal RNA
Rfam family: Bacterial small subunit ribosomal RNA
Source: RNAcentral